This 207-nucleotide long non-coding RNA is filed under the name Carica papaya (papaya). Its description in RNAcentral is "long non-coding RNA (CPAP_LNC011001)". The record is from RNAcentral. Lineage: Eukaryota; Viridiplantae; Streptophyta; Magnoliopsida; Brassicales; Caricaceae.
CAAGGAGCGGUCUUCUCACAUCUUUUCAAACUAGACCGGAUAUGAUACGUGCGGACUGACCUAUCUGCACACGAUGGAACGUGCACGUAGACUGGUCUUGUGCUCCACGCGAAUGGGACAUGUGCACAGUGUGCACGUCUUGUGCUGGCCGUGCGCGCACGCAUGCACACAACGUGUUAUGCCCGCACGUCUUUCCCAUGGGUGUUU